GCGAGCGGCGGAUGGGUGAGUAACACGUGCGGAACCUGCCCCUAAGUCUGGGAUACCAUUUGGAAACAGGUGCUAAUACCGGAUAAUAAAGCAGAUCGCAUGAUCAGCUUUUGAAAGGCGGCGUAAGCUGUCGCUAAGGGAUGGCCCCGCGGUGCAUUAGCUAGUUGGUAAGGUAACGGCUUACCAAGGCGACGAUGCAUAGCCGAGUUGAGAGACUGAUCGGCCACAUUGGGACUGAGACACGGCCCAAACUCCUACGGGAGGCAGCAGUAGGGAAUCUUCCACAAUGGACGCAAGUCUGAUGGAGCAACGCCGCGUGAGUGAAGAAGGUUUUCGGAUCGUAAAGCUCUGUUGUUGGUGAAGAAGGAUAGAGGUAGUAACUGGCCUUUAUUUGACGGUAAUCAACCAGAAAGUCACGGCUAACUACGUGCCAGCAGCCGCGGUAAUACGUAGGUGGCAAGCGUUGUCCGGAUUUAUUGGGCGUAAAGCGAGCGCAGGCGGAAAAAUAAGUCUAAUGUGAAAGCCCUCGGCUUAACCGAGGAACUGCAUCGGAAACUGUUUUUCUUGAGUGCAGAAGAGGAGAGUGGAACUCCAUGUGUAGCGGUGGAAUGCGUAAAUAUAUGGAAGAACACCAGUGGCGAAGGCCGGCUCUCUGGUCUGCAACUGACGCUGAGGCUCGAAA
This 682-nucleotide ribosomal RNA is filed under the name uncultured bacterium. RNAcentral describes it as "bacterial SSU rRNA". It matches the Rfam family "Bacterial small subunit ribosomal RNA", at positions 91 to 758 of the family's 1533-position model. The record is from RNAcentral.